GCACUACUAAGUUAAUGGCAGACUAUUUUACUUCGGAUAAAAAUGUGUGGGUUCGAAUCCUCCGUGGUGCU
This 71-nucleotide transfer RNA is filed under the name Microbotryum lychnidis-dioicae. RNAcentral describes it as "tRNA-Arg". It matches the Rfam family "tRNA". From Rfam's summary of the family: Transfer RNA (tRNA) molecules are approximately 80 nucleotides in length. Their secondary structure includes four short double-helical elements and three loops (D, anti-codon, and T loops). Further hydrogen bonds mediate the characteristic L-shaped molecular structure. tRNAs have two regions of fundamental functional importance: the anti-codon, which is responsible for specific mRNA codon recognition, and the 3' end, to which the tRNAs corresponding amino acid is attached (by aminoacyl-tRNA synthetases). tRNAs cope with the degeneracy of the genetic code in two manners: having more than one tRNA (with a specific anti-codon) for a particular amino acid; and 'wobble' base-pairing, i.e. permitting non-standard base-pairing at the 3rd anti-codon position. The record is from RNAcentral. Lineage: Eukaryota; Fungi; Basidiomycota; Microbotryomycetes; Microbotryales; Microbotryaceae. RNAcentral also lists the same sequence under 2 other names.